CGCCUUGCCAGCCCGCUCAGAAACUUAAAUGAAUUGACGGGGCCCGCACAAGCGGCGGAGCAUGUGGAUUAAUUCGAUGCAACGCGAAGAACCUUACCUGGGUUUGACAUACACCGGAAAACCGUAGAGAUACGGUCCCCCUUGUGGUCGGUGUACAGGUGGUGCAUGGCUGUCGUCAGCUCGUGUCGUGAGAUGUUGGGUUAAGUCCCGCAACGAGCGCAACCCUUGUCUUAUGUUGCCAGCACGUGAUGGCGGGGACUCGUAAGAGACUGCCGGGGUCAACUCGGAGGAAGGUGGGGACGACGUCAAGUCAUCAUGCCCCUUAUGUCCAGGGCUUCACACAUGCUACAAUGGCCAGUACAGAGGGCUGCGAGACCGUGAGGUGGAGCGAAUCCCUUAAAGCUGGUCUCAGUUCGGAUCGGGGUCUGCAACUCGACCCCGUGAAGUCGGAGUCGCUAGUAAUCGCAGAUCAGCAACGCUGCGGUGAAUACGUUCCCGGGCCUU
Molecule: ribosomal RNA, 504 nt
Filed under: uncultured Rhodococcus sp.
Lineage: Bacteria; Bacillati; Actinomycetota; Actinomycetes; Mycobacteriales; Nocardiaceae
Description: bacterial SSU rRNA
Rfam family: Bacterial small subunit ribosomal RNA
Source: RNAcentral